This 253-nucleotide ribosomal RNA is filed under the name uncultured bacterium. RNAcentral describes it as "partial 16S ribosomal RNA". It matches the Rfam family "Bacterial small subunit ribosomal RNA", at positions 524 to 776 of the family's 1533-position model. The record is from RNAcentral.
UACAGAGGGGGCGAGCGUUAAUCGGAAUUACUGGGCGUAAAGCGUGCGUAGACGGCUAUCUAAGUCGGGUGUGAAAGCCCCGGGCUCAACCUGGGAAUUGCAUUCGAGACUGAAUAGCUAGGGUACGGUAGAGGGAAGUGGAAUUUCCGGUGUAGCGGUGAAAUGCGUAGAUAUCGGAAGGAACAUCAGUGGCGAAAGCGACUUCCUGGACCAGUACCGACGUUCAGGCACGAAAGCGUGGGGAGCAAACAGG